GACGAACGCUGGCGGCGUGCCUAAUACAUGCAAGUCGAGCGGACGGAUGGGAGCUUGCUCCCAGACCGUCAGCGGCGGACGGGUGAGUAACACGUGGGCAACCUGCCUGUAAGACUGGGAUAACUCCGGGAAACCGGGGCUAAUACCGGAUAACUCUUUCCCUCACAUUAGGGAAAGCUGAAAGAUGGCAUCUCGCUAUCACUUACAGAUGGGCCCGCGGCGCAUUAGCUAGUUGGUGAGGUAACGGCUCACCAAGGCGACGAUGCGUAGCCGACCUGAGAGGGUGAUCGGCCACACUGGGACUGAGACACGGCCCAGACUCCUACGGGAGGCAGCAGUAGGGAAUCUUCCGCAAUGGACGAAAGUCUGACGGAGCAACGCCGCGUGAGUGAUGAAGGUUUUCGGAUCGUAAAACUCUGUUGUCAGGGAAGAACAAGUACCGGAGUAACUGCCGGUACCUUGACGGUACCUGACCAGAAAGCCACGGCUAACUACGUG
Molecule: ribosomal RNA, 498 nt
Filed under: uncultured bacterium
Lineage: Bacteria
Description: partial 16S ribosomal RNA
Rfam family: Bacterial small subunit ribosomal RNA
Source: RNAcentral